GACGAACGCUGGCGGCGUGCUUAACACAUGCAAGUCGAACGGUGAUGCUCCAGCUUGCUGGAGUGGAUCAGUGGCGAACGGGUGAGUAACACGUGAGCAACCUGCCCCAGACUCUGGAAUAAGCGCUGGAAACGGCGUCUAAUACUGGAUACGAAACUGGCCCGCAUGGGCAUGGUUUGGAAAGUUUUUCGGUUUGGGAUGGGCUCGCGGCCUAUCAGCUUGUUUGUGAGGUAAUGGCUCACCAAGGCGACGACGGGUAGCCGGCCUGAGAGGGCGACCGGCCACACUGGGACUGAGACACGGCCCAGACUCCUACGGGAGGCAGCAGUGGGGAAUAUUGCACAAUGGGCGAAAGCCUGAUGCAGCGACGCCGCGUGAGGGAUGACGGCCUUCGGGUUGUAAACCUCUUUCAGCAGGGAAGAAGCGAAAGUGACGGUACCUGCAGAAGAAGCACCGGCUAACUACGUG
This 468-nucleotide ribosomal RNA is filed under the name uncultured bacterium. Its description in RNAcentral is "partial 16S ribosomal RNA". It matches the Rfam family "Bacterial small subunit ribosomal RNA", at positions 28 to 507 of the family's 1533-position model. The record is from RNAcentral.